AUAAUUUGAAAACUAUAUAUGAAUGAUAAUACUUACAAUUUUUAAAGAACCUACUCUUUGCCAGAUACUACAUUUGACACUGAAUGUAUAUAAAUAUAAAAUGUCUUAAUUCUUAUUAUAGCCUCACAAGGUAAAAAAUGUUGCCUUUUUUACAGAUAAGAGAGCUCAGUGAUAUGAAAGGUGCUCAAUAUCUGGCACAUAGAAGAUGCUCAGUAAAUGGUGAAUAUUCUUAUGUGGAUUUCAAAAAAAACAAACAAACAAACAAAAAAGAAUGGAGUUUGGAGGACUAGAAGUUGCUCUGGGGAAGAAAAUAAGAAGAAAAAAAAAUUCACUCUGCAAGAUUCUCUAACCCAGAAACCCAAGAAGGAAAGAAAGAGCUGCAUGGUGACCCUGACAAGUCCCUUUUUCUCAACCCUCAUCUGAAAUAGAUGCAUACUACAAGGAGGCACAAUGAUAAUGAGCUUAUUUCCUUCAAGCUACAAUCAAGAUGCUGAAAUAAAGGCUACAAUAUCUUUUGCCUUAUAUUCUGACAUCAGUGAAAUCAAGGCAAGUGCUCUGCUUUGGCCAGUGUUUUCGUACUUUCUAUUAGCAAUUUACACACAAAACACAUGCUUUUAGGAGUCCAUAAAUUAUUUCAGAAAUUCAUCUCUAUUUGGAAAGUUAAGCAAUUUCAAAGGCAAUAGUAGUCACCCAUCUAUAAGGAAAGCUACACUUGAACUGCUAAAUGGAACUGCAGGGAUGCAUACAGAAAUUAGAACUGCCUGCAAUGCACAGUUCAGAAUAAAGAAAGCCAACAAGGGCCACAAUAAAAGUAAUUAUAGCUCUAAGAAAAGCUUUCAAGGAUUUGAAACAGACUCAGAAUUUCUGAGUUUAACUGGUUUCUACACAAAUAUACAUAUAGUCCAUCUGUCUGUAUGAACACACGUUCUUCUGUGUUUUGGUUAAACCUUCAUUUUAUUCCUUGGUUAACUACUACAGAUACACUAGAAAGUUUUGUUCUGCUGUGUUAGAAUGUCACAGAAUGACUAACUCAAACCUAAAAUAGAGAACAAUGUGAAAGCCUGUGAAUGUGACAUUCAACUUGAGGGCCACACGGAAAGUGACAAUAUCAAGUAAGUAGAGGGUGGUGCUAGAUAUACCCACAAACUGCUGCCAUGAGAUUACUCAAGUUUUGGUGCCUUAAGGAAUUUUCCUAGGCAACCUUUUCUCUGCACUUCAUUCUACUUAUCUAAUUUAGUUCUGCAAAUUAAAAUUUGCUGAGCUACCUGUAAAGAUGCACAUUCUCAACCUUAAACAAUUCUAGAAAUGUGACAGGAGAUGGGUAACUUCUGGAUCUUUAAUAUUCCCUUUUGGCUUUGAAUAGAUGAUGCUACUACCCUUAUUUUAGGUGUGAGAGAAUAGUGGAUAAAAUGUUGUGUAGACAUUCUGAAUAAUAUAUAAAGUAGAACUAGAAUUAUAAUAGCAUAAAAAUAAUCACAAUAUAUUUUUAAAUAAUAAAAUAGCAGCAAUAAUAGUAAGAAAAAGUUUGUGGAAGAUUUGGACUGAAAGCAAAAUGUCAUAAUUUGUUGUUUCAAAGAUAAGUGCUCACAAAAAUUUUCUCCUUGAACAAACUCUUAUCAGGCCCCAGUGAACUCUCUACUCACCUAGACUCAGAUUUUUGAGCUUCUGUGUUUAUCUCUGCAUUGCCCAAUUCUAGCAAGAAUUUUACUAAGUCAGUUUAACCGGAAUCCUCUACUCUCAUCGCUUGAUACUUGAUUGGGUUCCUCAUCUGCCACCAUCCCCCAGGUGAUGUCUGAUCACCCUGGCCUGCCCUGAGCAAGAAUUCUGCUAGGUCAGUUUGCUCAAAAUUCCUAUUAACCCUGACGUUUUCCCUUAGUAAUUUUUCAUCAACUAACCCCCACCCAGCACUCUGCCUCUUGACUAUAAAUUCCCACUUUUCCUUAUUAUAUUUGGGAUGGAGCCCAAUUUCUUUCUCCCACUGUAAAAAUACAUUGUGGUGGUCCCUGUUACUAUUGUGAUGGUCCUGAAUAAAGUCUGCCUUACCAUUUUUAAAGUGAAUGAAUUAGUGUUUCCCUUAGCAGUGAUGUGCUGUGACUUAAACAGGAUCAGAUAUAUCAUUGGACCCCGGGACCUGUCACUUAGGACCUUAAGUGUGCGCACCUGUGAAGCCUUUGUCUUUACUUUUUACUGAUUGAUCACAUAUCCUUUCUUCAGUCAGACUCCUGAGCCAUUCAUUGUUCUGAACAAUUAUCCGUGGAAGCUGGUAAGGACAGAUUUCUAUUCCUAGGAUUCUGAGUAUACUGUAGAAACUGAGUUAGUCCCAGACAAACAGAGGACAGCUUUCUGUCUCUCGUGGGGAUUAUUUCUUGACUCCUGAGCUGAAAGUACUUCUUCUCGGCUUUUUAAGUGGGGAUUCUCUCUCUAAUUUCUGACAUAGACAAUUUUUUCUAGCUCUUGGUGGGGCUUUGUUGUUCUGUUUGAUCCUGCUCCCUCCAGGGAAACAUCUCAGUCUACUGAAACUGCCUUAUUGAACCCCUGCUGACUGUAUGUUCCACCAACUCUGUCCGUUUCCUUCUCGUUGGCACAAUUUUGCUGAGGAUAACUGGGAACCUCAUUGGUCUCUUUGGGAAACUUAAAAUCUCCCUCAUCUGAGACCUUUCCAUUCCCAUUGCUUCUGCUUCUCCUCUAGCCACCUUCAAUCUUCCCUUUAGUUUCCUUAAAUUGAACCUCUACCCCUUCCAUCCAACUCUCCAGGCCUGCCAGGCCUUUCCCUUCUCACUUCAGCCUCAACUUCUCUAAAGUCACUGAAGUGUUAGGCUUCUAUCACUAUUGGGGGCCCCUAGGGAAGGGACUCAGGGUGCCCCGAAAGCAACUACCAGAGGCUAAAAAGCAGAAAGACUAAGUGAAAACGGACUGAAUAUUUUAUCAAAUCAGAUGGGCUUUGGAGACAUCAAGACAGUUCGUGAUUGUCUCCUCAGCCUAAAAUAUAGUCCACAGCCCUCCCAAAAUUACAUAUCAGGUCGAAACAAAAUUUCAAAGGUCUUCUCCAUAAAUAUUGGUAAGAAAAUAAAAGUUUUAAAAGCUUACUGAGUAAAUAAUCUCAAUUUGUCCCAUUUUGGUCAGAAAAACAAUUUGGAUAAAAAUAUAGAGUGGAGAAGAAUCAGUGAGUUUCAGACUUGUUUUACUGCUAUGUUUUACUGCCCCAGAGCUAAAAUUGAAAAAUGAACACUGUAAGACCUCUUUUUGCAUCUGUCUGUGUUUAUGUAUGUCUAGGUAUGCAUGUUAGAUCUAUGUUAUAUUUUUCUGCCUCUGGAGGAUAUCACCAAAUUAAUUUGUAAAAUCCCUUCUUG
This is a long non-coding RNA of Papio anubis (olive baboon), 3350 nucleotides long. The record is from Ensembl. Lineage: Eukaryota; Metazoa; Chordata; Mammalia; Primates; Cercopithecidae.